AGGACUAUGGUUUGGAUGAGUCACUGCAACAGGGCAAUAUACAUACCAGGUAUAUCCAUCUUUUGGUCAUCUUCUCAUCACUCUUUUUCCUUGCAAUUGCAAGUAAUUUUGGGCAGCUUCUACUCCAAAAUCCUCAAGAGGUUGUUAUGACAUUGAAGAAUUUGGUUGCUACUUGUCCAAUCCAUAGUUUUAAAGGAAUCAACCACUCCACAAUUUUGUUUGUAACAGAUUUCAGCAUCAAGCUAUAUAUACCCCUUCGAUGAGGUAGGCUUCUUUUCACUGUUAUUUCUUAAUUUUAAUUGGCUGCGUUGUUCUCUAUGUAGGUAUCUUCGCUUCAAAGCAUAACCAGAAUUCAUGAAACAGAUUUACAUAUAAUAAACACAAACUUAUAUCUAUUAAGCUCAAUGUUACUCACUCGUUAAUCCAAACUCAGUACACCUGGACUCAAGUGCUAUUUCUUUAUUUAUCUACUAAAUAAUGGGACACCUUUUAUUUCUCUUUCGCUUCUUAUAUUUGCUGCUGAUGUGCUUAUUUUUACUCAAUCAACUCUUUUAGUUGAAGCUUGGUGCUCCCCGAACCCUCUCUCAUCUUAAAAAUUAUUUUCAUCCGAUUAUAUUUUUAAAUAGAUUAAGUUUUUUAUUUUGAAGAUUCUUUAUUUUUUUUUCUUUUUCUUAUGAAUUUGUUGCAUGGAGUUAGGUGAGAAAAAUGAUUUUAACUUAGUUAGAUUUAUAUUAAAUUGUUUUUAUUAUGUUUGAAUACUUUGCUUUAGAUCUCUAGAUUUUGAAUGAUUAUCUUAAUUAAGUUGAGAUUUUUAAAAAAAAAUAUAUAAUAAAUUAUUAUAGGUAAGAGAAGUUAUUAUUUAUGAUUUUGAUAGUGUCUUAGGUAGAUGAUCUAAAUAUGAAGGUGACGCGAUCACAUUAUUUUAAGUCUUAUGCAGGUUUAUGUGUUUUUUAAAUAUAUGUUAAAUGUUUGAGUUUGAGAUAAAUCUUAAUUGAGAAAAUAUUUUUAUAGUUUGAAGGAAUGAAAUUUGUUGUGUGCCAAUUUUGUGUUAGAAUACAAGAUUGGGAGAAAAUUUGAUCAAGCUAAAGAAAAUUCUUUUUGUUUUCUUUCUUCUUAUCUCUUUAAUAGAUUGAAUAUAAAUGAAAAUAAAAUAUUAAUUUGUUUAUUUAAUUGAUUUGUGGUUUUAUUUAAAUGGGUUAUGUUAUUAUACGAAAAUUGUUGUUAUGAAUGAUACAAACUAUAUGAAUUUGGACUCACAAUUAUGGGAUGACACGUGAACCAUUAAUUGAGUUGUGGUAUUAAGUAAAGACACGUGUUAUAACAUGGAUUUCCUUGUUUUCCUGAUAGUCUAAAAUAUUAUGCAUGAGAAGUUGGGGGAGUUAUAAUGCGUGAUAGUCUAAAAUAUUAUGCGUAAGUUAUAAUGAACUUACCUUAAUCAAUUACUCUUAAGUUCAAUUAUUAAUCUAAGUUUUGGCUUGAAUUAUAUGUUAUUGUCUAGUGAGACACAAAUAUUUUGAAAAUCACUAGUUGAUAUUUCAUUUGUUGAAUAUGUUAUAUAUAUAUGAUCUUUACUAUUUGUGUGUGUUGGUGUUUAUCAAAUUGAAUUGUUUUUGGAUUUCUAAUGAAAAUAUUUCCUUUUAUAUACUUUUCUUACUUAAAAAUUUGAAUAACUUACCCUUUAUGUAUAGUUCGCAUUAUGAUCUGUGAUGACUAUAUUAUCUAAAUAUAUACGUAUACAUACAUGUACAAGAACAAUAUUUAGAAGAGAUUGAAGUUUUAUUUGUGACUCUCACUAGCGCAAAAAUGCUAAUCAAGUGCGGUUAUUUUACAUUUACAAAUGCGGCUAUAGAGCCGCAUUUGAUCAACACGCAUUCGUAAAUAAGAGAGGUACAAAUGCGGCUCUAUAGCCGCAUUUGUAAAUACUAUUUAUAAGUACGGCUAUUUCAAAUAGCCGCAUUUGUAUAUUCGUCUGAAUGAGGGGUAAGGGUUUAGGGGUUUAGGGUUUACAAAUGCGGCUAUUACCAUAGCCACAUUUGUAAAUCAUGUUUUUGAUUUACAAAUGCGGCUUUGGUAAAUAACCGCACUUGUAAAUAGUGUUUUUUUUAGUGCAAUCUGUUUUGUCCCUAAACCAUAUAAAUUAACAUGCAUAUUGAUCAAAAGGUACCCAACCAGACAAAUACAUAAAUAUAGAGAUAAAUUCAGAGAAUCAAAAUGUACAUUACAAACAAGUAAUCAAAUUACAUAUAAAACCUAAACUAUUGAUCAGCUAUGCUAGAGUUAUAAAAAUUUACGAAAUAUGUGGACCAAGAAUGUCUCACAUAUGACAUGGCUUCCAAAUUCAUUGGUAUUUCUUCUGUGAAUAACUGCAUUGCAAAAUAUAGUUGACAUAAAUUAGUUUUUAGAUACAUAUAUGUUCAAGAAUUAUAAAAAUGAUUUAACAUAUCAUGUUACCUCUUUCCAACCAGUUUUAACACCUAGUCUUAUAAUGGUAAUCAUCCAUUGCAUAAUGUAAUAGCCACAGUCAUAGCUUCCUGGUUGUUUAUUACACUAUAAUUCAAUAAAAAGUAAAAGUUAGUAUAUUGAUAAACAAUGAUAAGAGAAAGAAAAAAAUUAUAAACCUUUAUUCUUAUCCAGUUCAAAUUAUUUGAAUUGGAUCGACCUUUUAGGAUGUUAUAUCCACGCCAUGAACUGGUUAAUACAAAAAACCUCGUUAGUAGAUGGUUAAUUAGUAAAAUACAAAGUUAAGUUUAUAGUGUACUUACGUAUCAAUGAUAUCCUUAAAUUUUGUGGGUAUCUUCUUGUGUAGGGAACAUAACCACACAACAGUCUUAUCAACAAUUGAUAAGACAAGUAACUGCCAAUGAUGCCUAUAUCAUUCAUGAAAAUAGUUUGUAAAUAUUUAAAACAUGAAAUAGUAAUAAUUGAUGACAUAUAAUUCAACUUACUCAUUAAUAUAAAAGCAUAAAUAAAUUUCUUUUCCCUCUUUUUCCAGGGUGUUAGUGAUGUAUGUUUGAGUCUCAUAUGACCUUGGUCCAACAGGAUUAGUAUAUGCAGGAUCUAAGAAUCCAAACACAUUUUCCUUCCCCUCAGUGAGACAAACUCCAUGCAAAAACCUACAAGUUAUUAGUUAAAGCAUAAGCAAUAAUAAUUUAACAUAAAGUAAAUUGAAUAAUAGGUAAAGAUACUUACAUCAUAAAAAAUUAAAUUAUAUUUAUAUUGAGCGCCUGAUUCCCAUAUACAAAUUCUAAUAAAUCUGUGUUGUACAUCAUUAGUGGCAGUUCAGUGUUUAUUUGAAAAAACGUAUCAUCCCACGGAACUACAAAAGGUUCAUUACCAAUCUGACUAGCAAUGAGACCUAAGGAAACUAUAGGAUCGUCAACUGGAACCUCACGCUUCUUCUCCGGACUUGGUUUCCGAAAAGGUUUCUA
This 3428-nucleotide long non-coding RNA is filed under the name Phaseolus vulgaris (common bean). Its description in RNAcentral is "long non-coding RNA (PVUL_LNC001512)". The record is from RNAcentral. Lineage: Eukaryota; Viridiplantae; Streptophyta; Magnoliopsida; Fabales; Fabaceae.